AGAGUUUGAUCCUGGCUCAGGAUGAACGCUAGCGACAGGCUUAACACAUGCAAGUCGAGGGGCAGCGGUGGUGAAGGCUUGCCUUUACCAGCCGGCGACCGGCGCACGGGUGAGUAACACGUAUGCAACCUGCCUGCCACGGCCGGAUAAUCGGGAGAAAUCCCGUCUAAUACGGCAUAAUGCAUCGACGGGACAUCCUGUUGGUGCCAAAGGUUGAUUCCGGUGGCGGAUGGGCAUGCGUCGCAUUAGUUAGUUGGCGGUGUAACGGACCACCAAGACGACGAUGCGUAGGGGUUCUGAGAGGAAGGUCCCCCACACUGGUACUGAGACACGGACCAGACUCCUACGGGAGGCAGCAGUGAGGAAUAUUGGUCAAUGGGCGGGAGCCUGAACCAGCCAAGUCGCGUGAGGGAUGACGGCCCUAUGGGUUGUAAACCUCUUUUGCCGGGGAGCAAAGUGCCGCACGUGUGCGGUUUGGAGAGUACCCGGAGAAAAAGCAUCGGCUAACUCCGUGCCAGCAGCCGCGGUAAUACGGAGGAUGCGAGCGUUAUCCGGAUUUAUUGGGUUUAAAGGGUGCGUAGGCGGACGCUUAAGUCAGCGGUAAAAUUGCGGGGCUCAACCUCGUCGAGCCGUUGAAACUGGGUGCCUUGAGUGGGCGAGAAGUACGCGGAAUGCGUGGUGUAGCGGUGAAAUGCAUAGAUAUCACGCAGAACUCCGAUUGCGAAGGCAGCGUACCGGCGCCCAACUGACGCUGAAGCACGAAGGCGUGGGUAUCGAACAGGAUUAGAUACCCUGGUAGUCCACGCAGUAAACGAUGAAUGCUAGUUGUCCGGGGCGAUUGAGUUCUGGGUGACACAGCGAAAGCGUUAAGCAUUCCACCUGGGGAGUACGCCGGCAACGGUGAAACUCAAAGGAAUUGACGGGGGCCCGCACAAGCGGAGGAACAUGUGGUUUAAUUCGAUGAUACGCGAGGAACCUUACCCGGGCUUGAAUUGCAGAUGACGGAUCCAGAGAUGGUGACUUCCUUCGGGACAUCUGUGAAGGUGCUGCAUGGUUGUCGUCAGCUCGUGCCGUGAGGUGUCGGCUUAAGUGCCAUAACGAGCGCAACCCCUUUCGUCAGUUGCCAUCGGGUAAUGCCGGGCACUCUGGCGACACUGCCGCCGCAAGGUGUGAGGAAGGUGGGGAUGACGUCAAAUCAGCACGGCCCUUACGUCCGGGGCGACACACGUGUUACAAUGGGUGGUACAGCGGGAAGCCAGGCGGCGACGCCGAGCGGAACCCGAAAUCCACUCUCAGUUCGGAUCGGAGUCUGCAACCCGACUCCGUGAAGCUGGGUUCGCUAGUAAUCGCGCAUCAGCCACGGCGCGGUGAAUACGUUCCCGGGCCUUGCACACACCGCCCGUCA
Molecule: ribosomal RNA, 1405 nt
Filed under: uncultured bacterium
Lineage: Bacteria
Description: 16S ribosomal RNA
Rfam family: Bacterial small subunit ribosomal RNA
Source: RNAcentral